This 408-nucleotide ribosomal RNA is filed under the name Physaraia sp. RNAcentral's name for it is "eukaryotic LSU rRNA". Lineage: Eukaryota; Metazoa; Arthropoda; Insecta; Hymenoptera; Braconidae. The record is from RNAcentral.
ACGAAUGGGGAGAUUCAUCGUCAGCUCAUUUUGUGUAUAUGCAGGUUGUGAUAUGGGUUACUACUUGUAGUAUUGCCUGUANAUUCUUGUAUAUUCAUUUGCAAGAUGUUGUCGGCGUGCACUUCUCUCCUAGUAGGACGUCGCGACCCGUUGAGUGUCGGUCUACGGCCCAAGUGGGAGCUUCCGAUGAAUUUUAUUUAUUGGAAACCCUUGGUGUUUCCCGACUGGCAUUCGGCGGUAUUCUUAUGGUAUUGAGCCGCAUAUUAUAUGCGUCCUUGUCCAUCGCAAGCGAGGUUAGUUAUCGAUAGUGCGGACCUAGUGCCGUCGUUGGUACUAAUCAGCUGUUGGUUGUAUGGAAUUCUAGGACUGGCUCGUUGWAAUACCGGUCAGCGAUGCUACUGCUUUGGG